GCCAGAAGACGAUGGCGGUAGGGGAGAUCACGCGAGAGCAUGGCCUCCACCUCUCCUCCCCACCGCCAUCUCCACGUUCUCGCACCGGCGCUGGGGUGCAGGCUUUCAGUGGUCUCAGGGCUACGGCUUGUCGGUGCCUCGCCGCACAGUCCCCUUUGCAUUGAAGGACACGGUCUUACGGUGUAGGAGCAUUUUUGAGGUGCAUUCCUGGAUUUGGAGGCGAACCCCCAAUGGUUACCUCCACAGAGGCUUUGCGAAGGGCGCUCACUGACUUAGGUGAAGAGCGAAGGCUCAAGACUGUGCCGCUUUAUAGUGGCCCCUUGACGUCCAGAAGUUCCCCCCAGCGCCGGUCAUAAGCACUCCCGCCGCCUGGGCCCCGCCCUGCCUGCCAGGCGCCCUCCAGCCUCAGCUCCCGGACGCCCGGCGUGGCCGCUUUCUCGCGUCUUGCUGACCCGGGCCGGGGGCGUGUGCUCCUCCUGCAGCGGACGGAAGAUGCUGGGCCACGCAAGUUUCCCUGGGCUUGGUUAACCACCCCAAAGCCCAUUUCCAGAAGGAAAGGGUGUUGAGGAGGAGGGAUAGAAAGUCGAGAAGAGGGCCGGGUGAGUGGCUCACGCCUGUCAUCCCAGCACUUUGGGAGGCCGAGACAGGCGGAUCACCUGAGGUCAGGACUUAGAGACCAGCCUGGCCUACAUGGUGAAACCCCGUCUCUACUAAAAAUACAAAAAUUAGCCGGGUGUGGUGCCGUGCGCCUGUAGUCCCAGCAACUCGGGAGGCUGAGGUAGGAGAAUCGCUUGAACCCGGGAGUCGGAGGUUGCAGUGCUGAGAUGGCACCUGGCCUGGGCGGCAAGAGCGAAACUCCAUCUCAAAAAAAAAAAGAAGAGGAAAUGAGGCAUAGGGGCAGGCGAGCCGGGAAAAUAUUGCUACUAAGGAUCCUAAGCAGUGAACAUGCUGUUAAUACUUGUAAGACUCCUAGCAAACUGCAUUUAAUUUUUUAAAUUAGUUUUAGUGUACAUAAAGGCAUGUCUUUUCCAAAUACUGUACUUUUUGAAGUGUUCUUUGUUGUUCAUUAAUCUUUGUGCGUUUCCCUUCAGUCUCUAAUAGUAGGUUGUAGCAUGAUUUGCUUCCAUCGUGUGAAUUCUGUUCGGUUUUGAUUUUCAAGUAUGAGAGUGAGCGUAAGCUACCCUUAUAGGUUACCUAAGGGUCUUGCUCUGUUGCUCAGGCUGGAGUGAAGUAGAGCAUUCACAGCCCACUGCAACCUUGAACACCUGGGCUCAAGCAAUCCUCCUGCCUCAGCCUCCUGAGUAGCUGGGACCACAGAUGUGUACCACCAUGCCCAGCUACAUGUCUUUCUUUUGGGGGGACAGCAGAAACCUGGGCAGAGGAGGAAUCCUGAUACCCAGUUCUGAAACAAAGUGGCAGAAUUUGUAAUACAGAAGAAGGAUCUUGUGACUGGUAUUCUGUUAUCCACAAGAGUAAAUGUUCCCAAAUAAACAAAACUGGGAUAUGAAAUGGUGGAGUGUGUGGUGCCUGUUCAUGAAAAAAAAAGGUCUAGAUUGCAAGAGUAAUAUUAGAGGAUUUUGGAGAUGUUUUACAACCAGAGAAUAAAAGACCAUCCUUUUGUCUGACAUGGUACAGUUUUAUGCCCCUUACAUGCAACAAGAAAACAAAAGCUAAAUAAAAUCGUAGGUCCUGAUCCUCCAGUGCUUAGAUACACUUAAUUUAAUUUUUGAAAUACUUAAGCCUACGUCAGAGAUCAUUGAGUAUUUAUUUGGGGGAAACAGAGGAGGCAAUGGCUCACCCCUGUCAGAGAGGAUCAACAACAUGCAGACAUUCCUUAUUAUGAGAGAUGGGUAACUGGAGUCUGCUUACCCUACUUCCAAAGCUUAAAUAUUUAGCAGUCAAAAAUGGAUAUAGAGCUGUACAAAGGAAUUGGAAACAUUCAUCUUUUUUUUUCAUUGUAGUAUCUCAAGCAUAUAGAAUGGGACUUAAAAUGAAAUACAAUAGCCCCUUGUUUGAAUCCACCCCACCCUUACAUUCACUCCCCGGAAUCAACAAGUUUUAAUUAUUUCUGCUUUU
This 2076-nucleotide long non-coding RNA is filed under the name Homo sapiens (human). Its description in RNAcentral is "HSALNT0346735". The record is from RNAcentral. Lineage: Eukaryota; Metazoa; Chordata; Mammalia; Primates; Hominidae.